RNAcentral lists this small RNA (183 nucleotides) under Streptomyces sp. RNAcentral's name for it is "c-di-AMP sequence". It matches the Rfam family "c-di-AMP riboswitch aptamer (ydaO/yuaA leader)". Rfam says of the family: This family represents a conserved RNA structure found upstream of the ydaO and yuaA genes in Bacillus subtilis and related genes in other bacteria. The ydaO/yuaA element is thought to act as a genetic "off" switch for the ydaO and yuaA genes in its native state. Lineage: Bacteria; Bacillati; Actinomycetota; Actinomycetes; Kitasatosporales; Streptomycetaceae. The record is from RNAcentral.
GUCGCGUAAGCGCCGUAGGCAGGAGCGGGGGAACCAAGGUAAGUUGCCGGAACGGACCGGGGGUCGAUUGGCCUCGGGGACGGGACGGCUAGGGGUGAAGCCGGGUACGCGCAAGCGGACCGGCCGGGCAAACUCACAGCCCGAACCCGACAGCUCACCUCGUAGGCGUCGGUGAGGAAACCG